Molecule: ribosomal RNA, 476 nt
Filed under: unidentified nematode Sourhope farm
Lineage: Eukaryota; Metazoa; Nematoda
Description: SSU rRNA
Rfam family: Eukaryotic small subunit ribosomal RNA
Source: RNAcentral
UUCUAAGUAUAACCUGCCAGACAGGGAAACUGCGUACGGCUCAUUACACCAGCCUUAAUUUACUUGACCUUGACAACCUACUUGGAUAACUGUGGUAAUUCUAGAGCUAAUACAUGCACCAAAGCUCCGAUCCUCGCGGAGAGGAGCGCAUUUGUUCGCCACAAAACCAAGCGCCCAUCUGGGCGUCCAGUGCUGAACCAGAACAACUCAGCUGAUCGCACGGUCUUGUACCGGCGACGUGUCUUUCAAGUGUCUGCCUUAUCAACUUUCGAUGGUAGUGUACCUGACUACCAUGGUUGUGACGGGUAACGGAGGAUAAGGGUUCGACUCCGGAGAAGGGGCCUGAGAAAUGGCCACUACGUCUAAGGAUGGCAGCAGGCGCGCAAAUUACCCACUCUCAACGCGAGGAGGUAGUGACGAGAAAUAACGAGACCGUUCUCAUACGAGGCCGGUUAUUGGAAUGGGUACAAUUUAAA